Long non-coding RNA from Planococcus citri (citrus mealybug), 2207 nucleotides. RefSeq lists it as uncharacterized. The transcript is spliced from 3 exons. NCBI's taxonomy places the organism in Eukaryota, Metazoa, Arthropoda, Insecta, Hemiptera, Pseudococcidae. The record is from RefSeq and is a predicted model, not a curated record.
UACAAUCUUGAGAUAUUUUUAAAAUAGGUAACACAUUGAACAGCCAUGGGCUGAAAUUGAAAAAAAAAAUCUGAAAAUAUAUAAUUUUCAAUUCUGUUUCUACAUAUUUGGUAUACCUACAGGGUGUUCCAGAAUAACCUUUCACUUUUGUUUUAUUAGUAGCUCUGAGAGAAAAAUGGUUACGGAAAUUUUUUUAUAACCAAAAUGAAGUAGAAAUGUGCCGUUUUUAGACCAUAUAUUUGAGUUUUCAUUAUAAAUUAAGUUUUAAAAAUUAUUCCACCAAGAUGUUUUCCAUCAUUUUUGACACAAUCGACCAAACGUUUUUUAAAAUUAUUGAACACUUUGUUGAGCAUUUCUCUUCUAAUCAGUCUUGAUUCACGAAUAAUAUUAUCUAGGAGCUGUUUCAGAGUCCUAGGAUCAUCUUGAUAUACUUUUGACUUGAGGUAACCCCAUAAAAAAAAAUCACAUACUGAAAAAUCAGGGGAUCGAGGUGGCCAUGAAAUUUCUGUGUUCAGCGAAAUUAUUCGAUGACCAAAAUGCUCACGCAAUAAAGAAAUCGUGUCCGUUGCGGAAUGACAGGUAGCGCCAUCCUGUUGGAACCAAGUAACUCUAUACUUGUGUCUGCGUUUCAAUUCAGGAAUGAGAAACUCGUUUAACAUUUUGCGAUACCUCUCACCGUUCACCGUUUCAUCAAACCAACACCUCCUAUAAUAAAAGGCCUGGGCGCUGUUGGAAAACACGAUGUGGUCACACUGUACCGUAGGCCGACCGUUAUCAUUCAAUUCAUUUGAAAUGUAUUGAUUGUCAUAUAAAAUUUGUUUAAUUUUAAUGAAAAUUUAGCAAAUUAUGGGUUAAUUUAGAAAAAAUUGUUCAUCAAUUUUGUUGAAUAUUGUGUUAUUUUACUAGUAAAGUAUCCCAGUGGAGUGUUGUGCGUCUGUUGUGAACGUAAAUUACACUGAAAAUAUGAAAGAACCAGUGAUUGAUUUUUGGAUGAUAAACGUUUCACAUUACUGAAUAAAAUUUCGCGAAUUAUGAUUUAAUUUUUAAAAAAUGGCUUCAUAUUCACACUACAUCGUGUUAUUUAACUCGUGAAUUGUGUCACUCAAGUGCUGUGGGUUUGUUUUCGAGAUAAUUAUGCUGACAGAAAAUACCAAUGAUCUGAUUUCUACCUCCGGAGCUUUGAAUAUCUAUCUAAAUUCAAAUGGUUGAAUUUCCUACAGAGAAUGAUGAAAACAUAGACCAAAUGGAAUAUAAUAUCCAAGUGAAUAAUCAUCAUUUCUUAUGAAUUUAUGAUCCGAAGAUAUGAAAUUGUAGCUCACAUUUGAUGAAGUAUUCAAGAUGUUGAUUCUGAUGGACGUUUUUAUAACUUACAAAUGCAAUGGAUUACACAGGAAGAUGAGUUCGAAAAUAUUUAUCGAAUCAGGGAUGGAAGAGCCGGGAGCGAGCCGGAGCCAGAGUCUGAAAGAGCCGGAUUUUUUGAGGAGCUAGAGCCAGAGCCAAGAGCCAAAUAAAUGAAAGUGCAGAAAAACAUCACGAGCUCUCUUGCAAAAGAGCUCCUUAUUUUACUCAAGAGAGCCAUCAUCAUAAGGAGUCUUUAACCUGGAAAGAGCCAGAGCCGAGUGGGAGCCCACAAAAUUUUUCAGGCUCUUUGGCUCCCUAAAAGUAGAGAAAAAAGUUGAAAAAUGCGCACAAUUUUAUCAAAAAUUCAACUUUUAACUCACAUUUGUGAAGAAAAUGAAGAAUUUCUAAGUUUUUUUCCUCAUUGAGAAAUGAAAUGAAAAUAAAUGCAGUGUAUUUUCAUUUUUUUCAUCGUUUUUCACGAAUUUUGAACUCUAAUUUAAAGAGCCAAGAGCCAGAGCCAGAGCUGGAGUGGGAGCCGAGAAAUUGGAAGAGGGAGUCGAGAGUCAAAGAGCGGAGUCGGAAAGAAUUGAGGAGCGAGCAAGGAGCCAAAGAGCUCAUGUAAAGAAAAAGUGCCAAGAGCCAAGAGCGAGCCAGAGCUGAAACUUGCGGGGAGCUGAGCCAGAGCCAAGAGCGGGAGCCCUGAAUUCAAGGCUCUUCCAUCCCUGUUUUAGAUCUUGAUGAUUAUACCAGUAUGUUACCCACUGAAAUACUCCGUUCUGUGAUAUUUAGGAUACUUUUUAAAUAUUUUUAAUGUCUAGUGUACAAAAAAUUAUGGUAAUCGAAAUAAAAUCAUAAUUUUAGUGGUA